Molecule: ribosomal RNA, 301 nt
Filed under: uncultured bacterium
Lineage: Bacteria
Description: partial 16S ribosomal RNA
Rfam family: Bacterial small subunit ribosomal RNA
Source: RNAcentral
CAGUCGCCGCGGUAAUACGUAGGGUGCAAGCGUUAAUCGGAAUUACUGGGCGUAAAGCGUGCGCAGGCGGUUUGUUAAGACAGAUGUGAAAUCCCCGGGCUCAACCUGGGAACUGCAUUUGUGACUGGCAAGCUAGAGUGUGGCAGAGGGGGGUGGUAUUCCGCGUGUAGCAGUGAAAUGCGUAGAUAUGCGGAGGAACACCGAUGGCGAAGGCAGCCCCCUGGGCCAACACUGACGCUCAUGCACGAAAGCGUGGGGAGCAGACGGGAUUAGAUACCCCUGUAGUCCCUGUCUCUUAUAU